GCUAAUACCGGAUAACAACAGAUUAUGCCUAUCAACUGUUUAAAAGAUGGUUCUGCUAUCACUCUUGGAUGGACCUGCGGUGCAUUAGCUAGUUGGUAGGGUAACGGCCUACCAAGGCGAUGAUGCAUAGCCGAGUUGAGAGACUGAUCGGCCACAUUGGGACUGAGACACGGCCCAAACUCCUACGGGAGGCAGCAGCU
Molecule: ribosomal RNA, 200 nt
Filed under: uncultured Lactobacillus sp.
Lineage: Bacteria; Bacillati; Bacillota; Bacilli; Lactobacillales; Lactobacillaceae
Description: partial 16S ribosomal RNA
Rfam family: Bacterial small subunit ribosomal RNA
Source: RNAcentral